Molecule: ribosomal RNA, 446 nt
Filed under: uncultured eukaryote
Lineage: Eukaryota
Description: bacterial SSU rRNA
Rfam family: Eukaryotic small subunit ribosomal RNA
Source: RNAcentral
UUACUAGGUCAGGACACAGUAAGGAUUGACAGAUUGAAAGCUCUUUCUUGAUUUUGUGGAUGGUGGUGCAUGGCCGUUUUUAGUUGGUGGAUUGAUUUGUCUGGUUAAUUCCGAAAACGAACGAGACCUUAACCUGUUAACUAUGUGAUGUUAAAAUUCGACUUCGGUCUCAAUAUUUGAUAUUAAAAAUUUAAUACUUCUUAAAGGAACAAUUCAAACUUUAAUUGAAUGGAAGUUUAAGGCAAAAACAGGUCUGUGAUGCCCUUCGAUGUUCUGGGCUGCACGCGCGUUACACUGAUAUGUUCAAUGAGUUUUUAAAUUUCCUAGUCUGAAAAGACGUGGUAAACUUAGAAAAACAUAUCGUGAUUGGAAUAGUAUUUUGUAAUUAUCGCACUUGAACGAGGAAUUCCUAGUAGGGGCAAUUCAUCAAAUUGCCCCGAUUACGU